AAUGGCCGAAAGGCUGAACCAGUAACUUGAAAGAAUGUACAAUGAAUAACUCAUCUAAAGUUCUAGGCAGAAAAGAAAUGAUGACUAUUUUUUGUCUAUAAGUAUUGACCAAAUUACGUGCCAGCCGUCGCGGUAAUACGUAAAAUACAAGUGUUAUUCAUCUUUAAUGGGUUUAAAGGGUACCUAGACAGAAAAUCAAGCUAUAAUAGGGACUAAUUUUCUAGAGUUUUAUAAGAGAAAAAAGAAUUGUUAGAGGAGAGAUGAAAUUCAUUGAUACUAACAAGACUGAUAACGGCGAAGGCAUUUUUCUAUGUAAAAACUGACGUUGAGGGACGAAGCCUAGGGUAACGAGAAGGAUUAGAUACCCUAAUAGUCCUAGGAGAAAAAUAUGAAUGCCAUAGGCUAGAAUUUAUUGGCCUAUAAAUGAAAGUGUAAGCAUUUCACCUUAUGAGUAAAGCGGCAACGCCGAAACUGAAAUCAUUAGACCGUUACUGAAAACAGUAGUGAAGUAUGUUAUUUAAUUCGAUGGUCCGCGAAUAACCUUACCACAAUUUGAAUAUUAUUAAAUUAUUACAAGUGCUGCACGGCUGUCUUCAGCUUAUAUCGUGAGAUUUUGGUUAGAUCCAUUAAUAAGCGAAAACCCUUACUUUAUUUAAUAAAGUAGUAGUAUUUUAGUUGAGAAUUUUAAAAUACUAUUUUUUAUAGAGUAGUUCGCCAAUAUAUUGGUAAGAUAAAAGGGAUUAAGACAAGUCAUCAUGGCCUUAAUAUUG
This 770-nucleotide ribosomal RNA is filed under the name Pyrenula astroidea. RNAcentral describes it as "SSU rRNA". It matches the Rfam family "Bacterial small subunit ribosomal RNA", at positions 370 to 1209 of the family's 1533-position model. The record is from RNAcentral. Lineage: Eukaryota; Fungi; Ascomycota; Eurotiomycetes; Pyrenulales; Pyrenulaceae.